Molecule: ribosomal RNA, 707 nt
Filed under: Staphylococcus aureus
Lineage: Bacteria; Bacillati; Bacillota; Bacilli; Caryophanales; Staphylococcaceae
Description: partial 23S ribosomal RNA
Rfam family: Bacterial large subunit ribosomal RNA
Source: RNAcentral
UCGAUUCCCUUAGUAGCGGCGAGCGAAACGGGAAGAGCCCAAACCAACAAGCUUGCUUGUUGGGGUUGUAGGACACUCUAUACGGAGUUACAAAGGACGACAUUAGACGAAUCAUCUGGAAAGAUGAAUCAAAGAAGGUAAUAAUCCUGUAGUCGAAAAUGUUGUCUCUCUUGAGUGGAUCCUGAGUACGACGGAGCACGUGAAAUUCCGUCGGAAUCUGGGAGGACCAUCUCCUAAGGCUAAAUACUCUCUAGUGACCGAUAGUGAACCAGUACCGUGAGGGAAAGGUGAAAAGCACCCCGGAAGGGGAGUGAAAUAGAACCUGAAACCGUGUGCUUACAAGUAGUCAGAGCCCGUUAAUGGGUGAUGGCGUGCCUUUUGUAGAAUGAACCGGCGAGUUACGAUUUGAUGCAAGGUUAAGCAGUAAAUGUGGAGCCGUAGCGAAAGCGAGUCUGAAUAGGGCGUUUAGUAUUUGGUCGUAGACCCGAAACCAGGUGAUCUACCCUUGGUCAGGUUGAAGUUCAGGUAACACUGAAUGGAGGACCGAACCGACUUACGUUGAAAAGUGAGCGGAUGAACUGAGGGUAGCGGAGAAAUUCCAAUCGAACCUGGAGAUAGCUGGUUCUCUCCGAAAUAGCUUUAGGGCUAGCCUCAAGUGAUGAUUAUUGGAGGUAGAGCACUGUUUGGACGAGGGGCCCCUCUCGGGU